RNAcentral lists this RNase P RNA (300 nucleotides) under human gut metagenome. RNAcentral's name for it is "Bacterial RNase P class A". It matches the Rfam family "Bacterial RNase P class A". Rfam says of the family: Ribonuclease P (RNase P) is a ubiquitous endoribonuclease, found in archaea, bacteria and eukarya as well as chloroplasts and mitochondria. Its best characterised activity is the generation of mature 5'-ends of tRNAs by cleaving the 5'-leader elements of precursor-tRNAs. The record is from RNAcentral.
GAGCAGGUUGGGCAGCCGCGGGCGUUUUGCGCACGAGGAAAGUCCGAGCUUCAUAGGGCGGGAUAACGGCUAACGGCCGCCGAGGGAGACCUUAGGGAAAGUGCAACAGAGAUAUACCGCCGGAUUCGUCCGGUAAGGGUGGAAAGGCGAGGUAAGAGCUCACCGGCGUACAGGAGACUGUGCGGCCCUGCAAACCCACUGGCCCGGUGCAUUCCCCGACGGGUGGCUUGAGCCGUACGGCAACGUGCGGCCUAGACAGAUGGCUGCCUUAAAUGACAGAACUCGGCUUACAGACCUGUC